UCGUCACAGAAUACACAUGAACUGUCAGCGCCAGCCUGGAUGAUGUUUCUAAACACCAAAUUACUCCUUGUAGGAAUCCUAUUAUGCAGUAAUUGCCAAACAAAGCCACUGACCUUUGACGGUGCCGGACAAUUCCAAAUUGAUGCGAAAAUACGAGCGUUACCCUGUACUUCAACACCUCCACCUCAGACAAUUUUGACAGUAAACAGUAAGUGGAC
Molecule: long non-coding RNA, 218 nt
Filed under: Trifolium pratense (red clover)
Lineage: Eukaryota; Viridiplantae; Streptophyta; Magnoliopsida; Fabales; Fabaceae
Description: long non-coding RNA (TPRA_LNC004209)
Source: RNAcentral